This is a long non-coding RNA of Leptinotarsa decemlineata (Colorado potato beetle), 1190 nucleotides long. The record is from RefSeq and is a predicted model, not a curated record. Lineage: Eukaryota; Metazoa; Arthropoda; Insecta; Coleoptera; Chrysomelidae.
UUGCAAUUCUGAAAAACGUAUUCAUUAUUCAAUACUACCGUGUCCAAAUCGAGUAGGUUCUCUAUCUCAGUGUUCAUAGGAGCUUUUUUCAGUCCAAGUGGAAAUUUAGGCAUGAAACCAUCUACAGUCAGAUUAGAAUUUCGUAAAGGGUGGUUACUGAAAUUGCAAAACCGUUUAUAUAGUUCUCGACAGUCGAUAUGACUGGAACCUACCCAAACGGUAAACUAGAAAUACUUGCAAAUAUAGGACUUUAUAAACAUAUUCAAAAUAAUAUCGUAACUUGAAAGUGUUAGGUAAUAGGUAAUACAAUUGACACUGUAUCAGUUUUUCUCCUGAAGAUAUUGACUUGGUUAGUAAUGAAAUAUGUGUUGAGUUCGAGUGUUGUCAGUUUUCGUGUAGCUGAUGAAAUUUAAUAUCACAACUUGAAAGAGUUAUUCACUGGACAUCACUGAUAUAAUUUACUCAUCAGUUACAAAAAACUAAAAAUACUCUCGCUGGACGCAUCUUCUGCUACCCACUAGGAAACAUUCAUCUAACACCAACAUACGUUCCAUGUUGUGCUAACUUCCUUCAUAAAUGUUUGCUAAAUGAACAUCUAAAAUAUUUAUUUCCAUAAAUUCUGAAAAAUGUUUCUUCAGUCACUUAUAUAUGAUGUUACACAUACAUUCGAAAAAUGUAAUUGGCUUUUAUUAUAUUUCUGUUAUAAUGUGUUGAAAAUAUAUCUAUUACAUUGAAUUAUAUUUUUCACAUGUUCAUUUCAUCAGAUAAAAUGACAUAUUGUUUACUUUACUGUGAUAGGUAUAUUUUCAAUUUUUUGCAAUCCUGAAAAACGUAUUCAUUAUUCAAUAGUGCCAUUUCCAAAUCGAGUAGGUCCUAUUCCUCUAUUCUGUGUUCAUAGGUGAGUUCCGUAACAGCACUACGACACGAGAUGAAAGGGGUUAUAGGUUAAGUUUAUUUUAUGGUGAGGUGACGGUGAUAUGACUGUGGUGAUAUAUGAUAUUAGUCAAAGAGUGUCAAAGAGUAUGGUAAAUUUCCCGAGAAGUUCAACAAACUAAUGCUGGUCGGGGGGAUCAGAUUAUGAAAAUUUAAUGAAAUUACGGCCAACUCUUUUCAAGGAUCAAUUGGCAAUGAUGUGUUCCUGGACAGGGCAAAAAGUGUUAUUAAUGGUUUAUGGCGGUGACGGCUAUCUU